UCCCUACAUUCAUGCAUUUUUUUCCUCUCUCUAAACACACACUUCUGGAAACCUCAGUCAUAGCAAAAUUAGCUAGAAAUGGAUUUAGAUAAGAAAUUCCCACUCAAAUACAAGUGUGUUUUUUUUGUAUCCUGGAAGUUGAAAAUCCAUUAUCGUCGUGUUUAUUUUUUUCGAUUUUCUUGCAAGAAAAAGAUUCAGGAACAUUGAGACAAUGCAAAAAAUUGAAGCUCUGAUCUAUUCCAAAAAAACAUUUCAAGAAGGGAUCAUCGGGCAAAGAUCAUGCGUUUGAAGUAUCCAGUGGGUUGUGUUGAAGAAGAAGGCAAUGGGUUGUGUUGAAGACAAAGGCACUGAUUGAUGUGGUUGUUUAUAAUUUUUUUUUCUGGAUGUUGUGUUCAAAGUAGUGUGUUUUAUGCUAUAUUUGUUUGUUUGCAUUCCUUUUUUUAUUGGUUGUUGGGCAAACCGAGUAUGUGUUUUAAUAUAAUGGAUCUAAAUUGCUUA
Helianthus annuus (common sunflower) is the source of this 498-nucleotide long non-coding RNA. RefSeq lists it as uncharacterized. The transcript is spliced from 2 exons. The record is from RefSeq and is a predicted model, not a curated record. Lineage: Eukaryota; Viridiplantae; Streptophyta; Magnoliopsida; Asterales; Asteraceae.